Molecule: ribosomal RNA, 2985 nt
Filed under: Salmonella enterica subsp. enterica serovar Typhimurium
Lineage: Bacteria; Pseudomonadati; Pseudomonadota; Gammaproteobacteria; Enterobacterales; Enterobacteriaceae
Description: bacterial LSU rRNA
Rfam family: Bacterial large subunit ribosomal RNA
Source: RNAcentral
UUAAGCGACUAAGCGUACACGGUGGAUGCCCUGGCAGUCAGAGGCGAUGAAGGACGUGCUAAUCUGCGAUAAGCGCCGGUAAGGUGAUAUGAACCGUUAUAACCGGCGAUUUCCGAAUGGGGAAACCCAGUGUGAUUCGUCACACUAUCAUUAACUGAAUCCAUAGGUUAAUGAGGCGAACCGGGGGAACUGAAACAUCUAAGUACCCCGAGGAAAAGAAAUCAACCGAGAUUCCCCCAGUAGCGGCGAGCGAACGGGGAGGAGCCCAGAGCCUGAAUCAGCAUGUGUGUUAGUGGAAGCGUCUGGAAAGGUGCGCGAUACAGGGUGACAGCCCCGUACACAAAAGCGCAUGUGCUGUGAGCUCGAUGAGUAGGGCGGGACACGUGGUAUCCUGUCUGAAUAUGGGGGGACCAUCCUCCAAGGCUAAAUACUCCUGACUGACCGAUAGUGAACCAGUACCGUGAGGGAAAGGCGAAAAGAACCCCGGCGAGGGGAGUGAAAAAGAACCUGAAACCGUGUACGUACAAGCAGUGGGAGCACCCUUCGGGGUGUGACUGCGUACCUUUUGUAUAAUGGGUCAGCGACUUAUAUUCUGUAGCAAGGUUAACCGUAUAGGGGAGCCGGAGGGAAACCGAGUCUUAACCGGGCGUUAAGUUGCAGGGUAUAGACCCGAAACCCGGUGAUCUAGCCAUGGGCAGGUUGAAGGUUGGGUAACACUAACUGGAGGACCGAACCGACUAAUGUUGAAAAAUUAGCGGAUGACCUGUGGCUGGGGGUGAAAGGCCAAUCAAACCGGGAGAUAGCUGGUUCUCCCCGAAAGCUAUUUAGGUAGCGCCUCGUGAAUUCAUCUCCGGGGGUAGAGCACUGUUUCGGCUAGGGGGCCAUCCCGGCUUACCAACCCGAUGCAAACUGCGAAUACCGGAGAAUGUUAUCACGGGAGACACACGGCGGGUGCUAACGUCCGUCGUGAAGAGGGAAACAACCCAGACCGCCAGCUAAGGUCCCAAAGUCAUGGUUAAGUGGGAAACGAUGUGGGAAGGCCCAGACAGCCAGGAUGUUGGCUUAGAAGCAGCCAUCAUUUAAAGAAAGCGUAAUAGCUCACUGGUCGAGUCGGCCUGCGCGGAAGAUGUAACGGGGCUAAACCAUGCACCGAAGCUGCGGCAGCGAACGUAUCACUUAAAGCGAUUCAGCGGGUUACGAUUGACGGAGCGAAGCGACGUCAAAGCGUAUACAAAGUCGAGUCGGUUUAAGGAUACGUUCGUUGGGUAGGGGAGCGUUCUGUAAGCCCGUGAAGGUGGCCUGUGAGGGUUGCUGGAGGUAUCAGAAGUGCGAAUGCUGACAUAAGUAACGAUAAAGCGGGUGAAAAGCCCGCUCGCCGGAAGACCAAGGGUUCCUGUCCAACGUUAAUCGGGGCAGGGUGAGUCGACCCCUAAGGCGAGGCCGAAAGGCGUAGUCGAUGGGAAACGGGUUAAUAUUCCCGUACUUGGUGUUACUGCGAAGGGGGGACGGAGAAGGCUAUGUUGGCCGGGCGACGGUUGUCCCGGUUUAAGCGUGUAGGUGUGUGUUCCAGGUAAAUCCGGUUCACUUUAACACUGAGGCGUGACGACGAGGCACUACGGUGCUGAAGCAACAAAUGCCCUGCUUCCAGGAAAAGCCUCUAAGCAUCAGGUAACACGAAAUCGUACCCCAAACCGACACAGGUGGUCAGGUAGAGAAUACCAAGGCGCUUGAGAGAACUCGGGUGAAGGAACUAGGCAAAAUGGUGCCGUAACUUCGGGAGAAGGCACGCUGACACGUAGGUGAAGUGAUUUACUCAUGGAGCUGAAGUCAGUCGAAGAUACCAGCUGGCUGCAACUGUUUAUUAAAAACACAGCACUGUGCAAACACGAAAGUGGACGUAUACGGUGUGACGCCUGCCCGGUGCCGGAAGGUUAAUUGAUGGGGUCAGCGUAAGCGAAGCUCCUGAUCGAAGCCCCGGUAAACGGCGGCCGUAACUAUAACGGUCCUAAGGUAGCGAAAUUCCUUGUCGGGUAAGUUCCGACCUGCACGAAUGGCGUAAUGAUGGCCAGGCUGUCUCCACCCGAGACUCAGUGAAAUUGAACUCGCUGUGAAGAUGCAGUGUACCCGCGGCAAGACGGAAAGACCCCGUGAACCUUUACUAUAGCUUGACACUGAACAUUGAGCCUUGAUGUGUAGGAUAGGUGGGAGGCUUUGAAGUGUGGACGCCAGUCUGCAUGGAGCCGACCUUGAAAUACCACCCUUUAAUGUUUGAUGUUCUAACGUGGACCCGUAAUCCGGGUUGCGGACAGUGUCUGGUGGGUAGUUUGACUGGGGCGGUCUCCUCCUAAAGAGUAACGGAGGAGCACGAAGGUUGGCUAAUCCUGGUCGGACAUCAGGAGGUUAGUGCAAUGGCAUAAGCCAGCUUGACUGCGAGCGUGACGGCGCGAGCAGGUGCGAAAGCAGGUCAUAGUGAUCCGGUGGUUCUGAAUGGAAGGGCCAUCGCUCAACGGAUAAAAGGUACUCCGGGGAUAACAGGCUGAUACCGCCCAAGAGUUCAUAUCGACGGCGGUGUUUGGCACCUCGAUGUCGGCUCAUCACAUCCUGGGGCUGAAGUAGGUCCCAAGGGUAUGGCUGUUCGCCAUUUAAAGUGGUACGCGAGCUGGGUUUAGAACGUCGUGAGACAGUUCGGUCCCUAUCUGCCGUGGGCGCUGGAGAACUGAGGGGGGCUGCUCCUAGUACGAGAGGACCGGAGUGGACGCAUCACUGGUGUUCGGGUUGUCAUGCCAAUGGCACUGCCCGGUAGCUAAAUGCGGAAGAGAUAAGUGCUGAAAGCAUCUAAGCACGAAACUUGCCCCGAGAUGAGUUCUCCCUGAGACUUAGAGUCUCCUGAAGGAACGUUGAAGACGACGACGUUGAUAGGCCGGGUGUGUAAGCGCAGCGAUGCGUUGAGCUAACCGGUACUAAUGAACCGUGAGGCUUAACCUU